Molecule: ribosomal RNA, 423 nt
Filed under: uncultured bacterium
Lineage: Bacteria
Description: bacterial SSU rRNA
Rfam family: Bacterial small subunit ribosomal RNA
Source: RNAcentral
GGAAUAUUGCGCAAUGGGCGAAAGCCUGACGCAGCCAUGCCGCGUGUGUGAAGAAGGCCUUCGGGUUGUAAAGCACUUUCAAUUGGGAAGAAAGGCAGCGUGUUCAUAGCGCGUUGCUGUUACAUUACCUUUAGAAGAAGCACCGGCUAACUCCGUGCCAGCAGCCGCGGUAAUACGGAGGGUGCGAGCGUUAAUCGGAAUUCCGGGGCGUAAAGCGCGCGUAGGCGGUUUGUUAAGUCGGAUGUGAAAGCCCCGGGCUCAACCUGGGAACGGCAUCCGAUACUGGCCGACUAGAGUACGAGAGAGGGAGGUAGAAUUCCACGUGUAGCGGUGAAAUGCGUAGAUAUGUGGAGGAAUACCGGUGGCGAAGGCGACCUCCUGGCUCGAUACUGACGCUGAGGUGCGAAAGCGUGGGGAGCAAAC